AACAGCUGGAAACGGCUGCUAAUACCGCAUAAGGCCACGGCUUCGAGUGGAGCUGAGGUAAAAGAUUUAUCGCACAAAGAUGGGCUCGCGUCCCAUUAGCUAGUUGGUGAGGUAACGGCCCACCAAGGCAUCAAUGGGUAGCCGACCUGAGAGGGUGAUCGGCCACACUGGAACUGAGACACGGUCCAGACUCCUACGGGAGGCAGCAGUGGGGAAUAUUGGGCAAUGGGCGCAAGCCUGACCCAGCAACGCCGCGUGAGGGAAGAAUGUCUUCGGAUUGUAAACCUCUGUCCUUGGGGACGAAAAAAUGACGGUACCCAAGGGGGAAGCUCCGGCUAACUACGUGCCAGCAGCCGCGGUAAUACGUAGGGAGCGAGCGUUGUCCGGAAUUGCUGGGCGUAAAGGGUGCGUAGGCGGCUAGGCAAGUCAGAUGUGAAAUCCCCGGGCUUAACUCGGGGGGUGCAUUUGAAACUGCUUAGCUUGAGUGCAGGAGAGGAAAGCGGAAUUCCUAGUGUAGCGGUGAAAUGCGUAGAUAUUAGGAGGAACACCAGUGGCGAAGGCGGCUUUCUGGACUGUAACUGACGCUGAGGCACGAAAGCGUGGGGAGCAAACAGGAUUAGAUACCCUGGUAGUCCACGCUAUAAACAAUA
RNAcentral lists this ribosomal RNA (650 nucleotides) under uncultured Bacillota bacterium. RNAcentral's name for it is "bacterial SSU rRNA". It matches the Rfam family "Bacterial small subunit ribosomal RNA", at positions 145 to 811 of the family's 1533-position model. Lineage: Bacteria; Bacillati; Bacillota. The record is from RNAcentral.